AUACGGAGGGUGCAAGCGUUAAUCGGAAUUACUGGGCGUAAAGCGCGCGUAGGCGGUUUGGUCAGUCAGAUGUGAAAGCCCUGGGCUCAACCUGGGAACUGCAUUUGAUACUGCCAGGCUAGAGUAUGGUGGAGGGAAGUGGAAUUCCGGGUGUAGCGGUGAAAUGCGUAGAUAUCCGGAGGAACACCAGUGGCGAAGGCGACUUCCUGGACCAAUACUGACGCUGAGGUGCGAAAGCGUGGGUAGCAAACAGGAUUAGAUACCCUAGUAGUCC
RNAcentral lists this ribosomal RNA (274 nucleotides) under uncultured bacterium. RNAcentral describes it as "partial 16S ribosomal RNA". It matches the Rfam family "Bacterial small subunit ribosomal RNA", at positions 523 to 796 of the family's 1533-position model. The record is from RNAcentral.